This 534-nucleotide ribosomal RNA is filed under the name uncultured bacterium. RNAcentral describes it as "bacterial SSU rRNA". It matches the Rfam family "Bacterial small subunit ribosomal RNA", at positions 29 to 526 of the family's 1533-position model. The record is from RNAcentral.
AACGAACGCUGGCAGCGUGGAUUAGGCAUGCAAGUCGAACGUGAAGCCGCUGAUCAAUCUUCGGAGAGUGAAGCGGUGGAAAGUGGCGAAAGGGUGAGUAACGCGUGGGUAACCUGCCCUUGAGUUGGGGACAACCCAGGGAAACUUGGGCUAAUACCGAAUGUGGUCUCCCGAUGCAUAUCGGGAUGACUAAAGGUGGGGAUUCUUAGGAACCUGCCGCUCGAGGAGGGGCCCGCGUCCCAUCAGUUUGUUGGUAGGGUAACGGCCUACCAAGGCUUACGGGUAGCUGGUCUGAGAGGAUGGUCAGCCACACUGGGACUGAGACACUGCCCAGACUCCUACGGGAGGCUGCAGUCGAGGAUCAUUCACAAUGCGCGAAAGCGUGAUGAUGCGACGCUGCGUGGAGGAUGAAGGCCUUCGGGUUGUAAACUCCUGUCAUGAGGGAAAAGCCGUCCGGCCGUUAAUACCGGUUGGACCCGAUGGUACCUCAAGAGGAAGCCACGGCUAACUCUGUGCCAGCCGCCGCGGUAACAC